This 552-nucleotide long non-coding RNA is filed under the name Rattus norvegicus (Norway rat). RNAcentral describes it as "long non-coding RNA NONRATT000278". The record is from RNAcentral. Lineage: Eukaryota; Metazoa; Chordata; Mammalia; Rodentia; Muridae.
CCCGGGGACUUACUUGGUAAUUGAGCAUCCCAGGAGAGCUUUUAGAUAGUAGUCAUGAAAGGAGUGGCUGCAAAUGUAAGGGAGUCCAAAAGUGUGCACUAGCACAACUGUCCACACUCUUUUAUUUUGUGGUCAUUUGACAGUGUGAACUUGUUCCAGAAGAAGGGGCAAUGCCUGGACCCUGCUCAGAAGGUUUUGUACAGAGACUGCAUGUCACAGAAUUAAAGCGGUCAGAUUUCAAAUGAAGUGAAAUCCUCGGAGGAAUGACAAAAAUUUUCAUAAAAUAUUCAAACGUCUUGUGAAUCUCUUUGAGAGGGCUCACUGAUCACCCAGACCUGCUCACCUGUGGAGCAAAACAGAAACCUGGAAGGUGGAGAGGGAGGAGACAGUAGCUAAGGAUCCAGAUUCAAUUUUACAUAUAGAGCGAAACAAAAUUCAAGAUCCCAGGACCUGGGAAGCUGGAGACCUACUGGAAGCAGACUAACUCCCUCUCUAAGAAGGAAUGGUUCCCCAAAUUUUCAUGGCUGUUCCUAACAACAGAAAGAAGGUAAA